GUCUAAGUUCACUCCACCUGAGCCACAUGAUUUAUCAGUAGCAUGGUGCAUGGCCUACCUGGCAACAGAAGUUUGCACCCUUCAGGAUUGCAUCCGAGCUGGAUAAGGAGAAUGGUGAAGUACAAGUUAAUUAUUUUUUACAUUCUAGAUGUAGGGGCCUGUCUACAAUACAUUUACAUUCUGUGAGGGGGAAGUAUUUUGACCUUGUGAC
Non-coding RNA from Pelobates cultripes (western spadefoot toad), 211 nucleotides. The record is from the annotation of a GenBank genome assembly. Lineage: Eukaryota; Metazoa; Chordata; Amphibia; Anura; Pelobatidae.